RNAcentral lists this ribosomal RNA (514 nucleotides) under uncultured bacterium. RNAcentral's name for it is "partial 16S ribosomal RNA". It matches the Rfam family "Bacterial small subunit ribosomal RNA", at positions 28 to 523 of the family's 1533-position model. The record is from RNAcentral.
GAUGAACGCUGGCGGCGUGCCUAAUACAUGCAAGUCGAGCGAACUGAUUAGAAGCUUGCUUCUAUGACGUUAGCGGCGGACGGGUGAGUAACACGUGGGCAACCUGCCUGUAAGACUGGGAUAACUUCGGGAAACCGAAGCUAAUACCGGAUAGGAUCUUCUCCUUCAUGGGAGAUGAUUGAGAGAUGGUUUCGGCUAUCACUUACAGAUGGGCCCGCGGUGCAUUAGCUAGUUGGUGAGGUAACGGCUCACCAAGGCAACGAUGCAUAGCCGACCUGAGAGGGUGAUCGGCCACACUGGGACUGAGACACGGCCCAGACUCCUACGGGAGGCAGCAGUAGGGAAUCUUCCGCAAUGGACGAAAGUCUGACGGAGCAACGCCGCGUGAGUGAUGAAGGCUUUCGGGUCGUAAAACUCUGUUGUUAGGGAAGAACAAGUACAAGAGUAACUGCUUGUACCUUGACGGUACCUAACCAGAAAGCCACGGCUAACUACGUGCCAGCAGCCGCCGUAA